UUCCGGUUGAUCCCGCCGGACCUGACUGCUAUCGGAUUGAUACUAAGCCAUGCGAGUCAUUGUAGCAAUACAAGGCAUACGGCUCAGUAACGCGUAGUCAACCUAACCUAUGGACGGGAAUAACCUCGGGAAACUGAGAAUAAUGCCCGAUAGAACAUUAUGCCUGGAAUGGUUUAUGUUCCAAAUGAUUUAUCGCCGUAGGAUGGGACUGCGGCCUAUCAGUUUGUUGGUGAGGUAAUGGCCCACCAAGACUAUUACAGGUACGGGCUCUGAGAGGAGUAGCCCGGAGAUGGGUACUGAGACACGGACCCAGGCCCUAUGGGGCGCAGCAGGCGAGAAAACUUUGCAAUGUGCGAAAGCACGACAAGGUUAAUCCGAGUGGUUUCUGCUAAAGAAACCUUUUGUCAGUCCUAGAAACACUGAUGAAUAAGGGGUGGGCAAGUUCUGGUGUCAGCCGCCGCGGUAAAACCAGCACCUCAAGUGGUCAGGAUGAUUAUUGGGCCUAAAGCAUCCGUAGCCGGCUCUGUAAGUUUUCGGUUAAAUCUGUACGCUCAACGUACAGGCUGCCGGGAAUACUGCAAAGCUAGGGAGUGGGAGAGGUAGACGGUACUCGGUAGGAAGGGGUAAAAUCCUUUGAUCUAUUGAUGACCACCUGUGGCGAAGGCGGUCUACCAGAACACGUCCGACGGUGAGGGAUGAAAGCUGGGGGAGCAAACCGGAUUAGAUACCCGGGUAGUCCCAGCUGUAAACCAUGCAAACUCAGUGAUGCAUUGGCUUGUGGCCAAUGCAGUGCUGCAGGAAGCCGUUAAGUUUGCCGCCUGGGAAGUACGUACGCAAGUAUGAAACUUAAAGGAUUGCGGGGAGCAC
RNAcentral lists this ribosomal RNA (867 nucleotides) under uncultured Nitrososphaerota archaeon. Its description in RNAcentral is "bacterial SSU rRNA". It matches the Rfam family "Archaeal small subunit ribosomal RNA", at positions 1 to 879 of the family's 1478-position model. The record is from RNAcentral. Lineage: Archaea; Thermoproteati; Nitrososphaerota.